RNAcentral lists this transfer RNA (72 nucleotides) under Camelus dromedarius (Arabian camel). It matches the Rfam family "tRNA". From Rfam's summary of the family: Transfer RNA (tRNA) molecules are approximately 80 nucleotides in length. Their secondary structure includes four short double-helical elements and three loops (D, anti-codon, and T loops). Lineage: Eukaryota; Metazoa; Chordata; Mammalia; Artiodactyla; Camelidae. The record is from Rfam by way of RNAcentral. RNAcentral also lists the same sequence under 1 other name.
GGGUGUGUAGCUCAGUGGCAGAGCACAUGCUUAGCAUGCACGAGCUCCUGGGUUCAAUACCCAGUACCUCCA